Cephus cinctus (wheat stem sawfly) is the source of this 1543-nucleotide long non-coding RNA. RefSeq lists it as uncharacterized. NCBI's taxonomy places the organism in Eukaryota, Metazoa, Arthropoda, Insecta, Hymenoptera, Cephidae. The record is from RefSeq and is a predicted model, not a curated record. The transcript has 3 exons.
UUAGCUCUUGUCUACGUACUUUUUUCACUCCGUGUAAAGGUUCCCUUUGUUUUCGUCCUUUACGUAUCUUAAUUUAAAAUCGUGACUUGGCCGCUUCUUCCUGAUCGCUCAACUCGAAUUCCAUAACCCUGUGCGUACCUAUGUGAAACGGACGGACUACGUGGAUUACGGGGAGCUAAUGGCGAGCCGGACAAUUAGCUUUCUUCGAAGAAGAUUGAUGAAGAGUUGAUCGGGCGUUACUCUAGGUGGACACCUUGGACCUUUGUUGCUCAAUAGAAAUACACGUAUGGGUUCCUUUGAUACAGUACCGCUGAAUUAUUCAUCGACGAUUGGGUGUGGUCGUACUUUGGGGGAAGAUUUUUAAGGUCUGUUGUAUGCAUGUAGUCGGAGCUCUCGGAGUAUCUGGUUAACGCCGGGACGGUUCACUGGGCACUGACUGAUCGUCAGUAGGUUAAGGAGAAAUGGAAAGAGCGAGGAAGACCGAGCGAGCGAAUGAAAAAGAAUAAAAGAACGACGCGUGCUGUCAAACAGAAGUUUCCGGUGUGGUCCUAGUCUUCUAAUGUAAUUUAUGACUGAAAAAUAUGUGGAAAAAUUAAUUAACUACGUGCCGGGUAGGAAUUGAAAACGCUUUGUCAUAAUCUCCCGUAAGUGACAACAAAACCUAAGCAACAAAGAGAAGACAGACAAAUAAGGGUACUAGGAUACAAAUAUAAUGCAAGGGUGUGGUUCACUUGAUUGAAAUUGAAGAGAUAAGCUACAAAAAAAACCAAUGACAGAUAAAAAAAGGACAAACCGUUAAAUCACUUUAAAAAAAUGGCUCGAUUGACAAGAUAUAUUCGACAACCACCUGCCGGCCGCAGAAAUGUUACCCUAAAUGAAAUCCUAAAAAUAGAUUUGUCCCAGAAGAGACAAAGGAGCACACGAAUGACAGUUACAAACAAUAUGAAAUUCGACUUGAUUACAGAACAAACAAUCCAUACAGAGUGAAUGCUCGGUGCUAAAAUUGAUGUAAGAAUUAGGAAAGGAGACAAUGAAUGACUUAGAGACACAGUAAGUCAGUAAGUCAGUAAGUCAGUGAGUAAAGCAAGUAGCUAGGUUAUUGAUUUGGUGACAGAUCGUAGCGAUGCGGAGGCUUCGUCGAAAGAGGGCUCGCCGCAACUCCGGCAAGGAAGGAAGAGUUCUGGUACGGGUAGCCUGAUAAUUAUAUAUAGCGUCCGGGCCACGAGCCACGCACCUAAAGACUAAGCGCGUUAAAUAUAGACGAAAUGCAACGAGGACGUUGAAAAUCCUCCUGGGGAAUAGGAGAGAAGGCUGUUAUGAUAUCGAGACGAUGAAGUUGCAGUGGCAGCGACCACGGAAGUGGCGGCCAUGGCCGACAGCACAGUAUCGUCUGCUAGUCCCCAAGUGCCGACACGUUCGUUAUAUAUGUAUAUGUGUGUGUAUAUAUGUACAGUGAGUAGCGACACAACCGGAAUCAGGAUCUGGUAAGGUAUAAAUCGACGAGGCUAAAAGUCAUGGAUAUGAGAGACGAUAAUAUUCAAUG